Molecule: transfer RNA, 76 nt
Filed under: Streptomyces sp. PVA_94-07
Lineage: Bacteria; Bacillati; Actinomycetota; Actinomycetes; Kitasatosporales; Streptomycetaceae
Source: RNAcentral
GGGCAUUGGCCAGAACCACGGGGAGGAACCGUGUCCGGAUUCGUCGAAAAGCCCGAGCCCGUCGAAGUACCGGGCC